AAGACUAUAGACCUGCGGAGUACCUGCGGAGGGAUCAUUAUCGAGUUUACAACUCCCAAACCAUUGUGAAUCUUACCUUUUCGUUGCUUCGGCGGGAUCGCCCCGGGCGCUUCGGUGCCCCGGAUUCAGGCGCCCGCCGGGGGACCUAAACUCUUGUAUUAUAGUGGAUUUCUGAGUGGAUUACACAAAUAAUCAAAACUUUCAGCAACGGAUCUCU
This 217-nucleotide unclassified non-coding RNA is filed under the name soil metagenome. RNAcentral's name for it is "partial contains 5.8S ribosomal RNA, internal transcribed spacer 2, and large subunit ribosomal RNA". The record is from RNAcentral.